AACAUCUAAGUACCUGAAGGAAGAGAAAGCAAAUGCGAUUCCCCAAGUAGCGGCGAGCGAAACGGGAUCAGCCCAAACCAGAAGGCUUGCCUUCUGGGGUUGUAGGACACUCUAUACGGAGUUACAAAGGAACGGAUUAAGCGAAGCGACCUGGAACGGUCCGCAAGAUAGGGUAAUAGCCCCGUAGCUGAAAGUUCGUUCCCUCCAGAGUGGAUCCUGAGUACGGCGGAACACGAGAAAUUCCGUCGGAAUCCGGGAGGACCAUCUCCCAAGGCUAAAUACUCCCUAGUGACCGAUAGUGAACCAGUACCGUGAGGGAAAGGUGAAAAGCACCCCGGAAGGGGAGUGAAAUAGAUCCUGAAACCGUGUGCCUACAAGUAGUUAGAGCCCGUUAAUGGGUGAUAGCGUGCCUUUUGUAGAAUGAACCGGCGAGUUACGAUUGCAUGCAAGGUUAAGGUGAGAAGCCGGAGCCGCAGCGAAAGCGAGUCUGAAUAGGGCGAGUGAGUAUGUAGUUGUAGACCCGAAACCAGGUGAUCUACCCAUGUCCAGGGUGAAGGUAAGGUAACACUUACUGGAGGCCCGAACCCACGCACGUUGAAAAGUGCGGGGAUGAGGUGUGGGUAGCGGAGAAAUUCCAAUCGAACCUGGAGAUAGCUGGUUCUCUCCGAAAUAGCUUUAGGGCUAGCCUCAAGAUAGAGAAUCCUGGAGGUAGAGCACUGUUUGGACUAGGGGCCCAUCCCGGGUUACCGAAUUCAGACAAACUCCGAAUGCCAGUGAUUUAUGCUUGGGAGU
Molecule: ribosomal RNA, 792 nt
Filed under: Streptococcus pneumoniae
Lineage: Bacteria; Bacillati; Bacillota; Bacilli; Lactobacillales; Streptococcaceae
Description: partial 23S ribosomal RNA
Rfam family: Bacterial large subunit ribosomal RNA
Source: RNAcentral